GGGUGGCCUAUUGGUUUGAUCGUCCGCCUUGCAUGCGGGAGGUUGCGGUUUCGAACCCCGCCAGUCA
Molecule: non-coding RNA, 67 nt
Organism: Potamilus streckersoni
Lineage: Eukaryota; Metazoa; Mollusca; Bivalvia; Unionida; Unionidae
Source: the annotation of a GenBank genome assembly